GGGGACGUAACUCAGUUGGGAGAGUGUCACAAUGGCAUUGUGAAAGUCGUGAGUUCGAGUCUCAUCGUCUCCACCA
This 76-nucleotide transfer RNA is filed under the name Clostridiales bacterium. RNAcentral describes it as "tRNA-Ala". It matches the Rfam family "tRNA". Rfam says of the family: Transfer RNA (tRNA) molecules are approximately 80 nucleotides in length. Their secondary structure includes four short double-helical elements and three loops (D, anti-codon, and T loops). Lineage: Bacteria; Bacillati; Bacillota; Clostridia; Eubacteriales. The record is from RNAcentral.